This 292-nucleotide ribosomal RNA is filed under the name uncultured bacterium. RNAcentral's name for it is "partial 16S ribosomal RNA". It matches the Rfam family "Bacterial small subunit ribosomal RNA", at positions 505 to 796 of the family's 1533-position model. The record is from RNAcentral.
GUGCCAGCCGCCGCGGUAAGACGUAGGAGGCGAGCGUUGUCCGGAUUCAUUGGGCGUAAAGAGCACGCAGGCGGUUCGGCAAGUCGGAUGUGAAAACCAGAAGCUCAACUUCUGGCGUGCAUCCGAAACUGCCGGACUAGAGGUAGGUAGGGGAGAUCGGAAUUCCUGGUGUAGCGGUGAAAUGCGCAGAUAUCAGGAGGAACACCGGUGGCGAAGGCGGAUCUCUGGGCCUUACCUGACGCUCAGGUGCGAAAGCUAGGGGAGCGAACAGGAUUAGAUACCCCUGUAGUCC